RNAcentral lists this ribosomal RNA (459 nucleotides) under uncultured bacterium. RNAcentral describes it as "partial 16S ribosomal RNA". It matches the Rfam family "Bacterial small subunit ribosomal RNA", at positions 338 to 795 of the family's 1533-position model. The record is from RNAcentral.
CCUACGGGAGGCAGCAGUGAGGAAUCUUGGUCAAUGGGCGCGAGCCUGAACCAGCCAAGUCGCGUGAGGGAAGACGGUCCUAUGGAUUGUAAACCUCUUUUGUCGGGGAGCAAAAGACGCCACGCGUGGCGUUCCGAGAGUACCCGAAGAAAAAGCAUCGGCUAACUCCGUGCCAGCAGCCGCGGUAAUACGGAGGAUGCGAGCGUUAUCCGGAUUUAUUGGGUUUAAAGGGUGCGCAGGCGGAAGAUCAAGUCAGCGGUAAAAUUGAGAGGCUCAACCUCUUCGAGCCGUUGAAACUGGUUUUCUUGAGUGAGUGAGAAGUAUGCGGAAUGCGUGGUGUAGCGGUGAAAUGCAUAGAUAUCACGCAGAACUCCGAUUGCGAAGGCAGCAUACCGGCGCUCAACUGACGCUCAUGCACGAAAGUGUGGGUAGCGAACAGGAUUAGAUACCCUUGUAGUC